RNAcentral lists this long non-coding RNA (32759 nucleotides) under Gallus gallus (chicken). The record is from RNAcentral. Lineage: Eukaryota; Metazoa; Chordata; Aves; Galliformes; Phasianidae.
GGGGCUCGCGGCGCGCAGGCGGCCGCGUCCCGGCGACAGCCCCGAGAGCAGCGGGGCGGGUUGAGGAGCGGCGUGUCUUUGCUCCUCGGUGCUCCGGUACCUGUCCGCGGCGCUCAGAUUUUGGAAACCUGAGCUGAAGUAUCGUGUGACUUACAGCGUGAUAACUACACCAAAAAUUCUCCAACAUCUUGUCUUUGACGUGAUCCACUGAUCGGAAUCUGCUUGGUCACAGAUCAGAAAGGUAGGGCGCCUGUGUAUUUGAAUGGGGUUUUAAGGAUGUGGGAUUGAAUGUGAAGCAGGGUGUGGAUUGCUCUUUGUUUUCUGUGGCUUUUUUUUUCUGUUUUGUUUUAGACAAUAAUUAGUGUUCUUCAUUUUACUGAACUGUGCUCUGUUGCAGCUUUGUAUACAUUUUUUUAAUUGUUAGGGCAGGCGCUCUGAAGUUAUUUUUGAUGUGUAUGCAUAUGCUCUGGCUAUUUAAUUAGCCCUUUAAGCUGCAGCUACCAAAGGGUGAGACAGAAAGCUGAGCGCUUGCCUUGCUUCAUUCUAGCUGGGCUACAGACCCAUCUCCAUUUGUAUUGGGCGUGGGGGCUGUCUAAGAUUGGUUUCAGCAUCCGUGCAGUGCUUGCAGUCUCACAAGAACAGGGUUAAACUCGGUGCCUUGCUCAGAGCAGGUACAAUCUAUCACACCGGCAGAAAGCAUAGUGCUGUUUUCAUGCUGUAUCGCUUUCACGAAGGAGGGAAACUUCUUUUAACCCAUUCGCUGCUGUAAGGAAUUGGUGUUGCUCAGCUUGGGGCUUUAUGUACAGCAUCUCAGCAGCCUGGCUGGGCGGAGCAGUGCUGGCAGAGCUUCUAUCUGAUGGCUUUUUGAGCUCCCAGACCUUCAGAAAUCAUUUAUAUGUGGCGAAAUAAAGCAGAUAGACCGGGAUUUUUCUGACAGUGUCGUUGCUAGUUCCCAAGAGAAGUUUGUUAUCCACUGUCCCCUAAUACCUUUUGGCUUUGGUUGCUUUAACUCUUUAAGGUGUUACUGUACAGUGUUCUUGUCAAGUAUCACAGUUCAUCAUACGUCUUAGCUCAGCAUUUAGACCUGAAGGUAAUAUGUGUGUUUGUAGGGCAGGAAGCAAAAUUUACAUGUGUUUUAGUUUGUAGGUAAGGCAGUUGCAUUUCUGGCGGGGCUAAAACUGGGAAUAAUGUUAACUCGGUGAGAAAGCCUGGUCUCAUGAAAUGCCCAGUGGGAGUCCCAAACGAGGAAGAACCCUGAGCCAGAACUCCAGCAUGGCAAGGAUGCAGGCCACUGCUAGCAGCAAGGGAGCCCUGAAAUGUUAUGAACAACCAACUUUAUUGCAGUAAAUUACAGAGGUUGAUAGUGCUCCUUCUGGGGGAAAGUGUUACCGAAUUCUUCAGGAUAUUUCCCCACCUGGCCAUCUUGCAUACCAUUCUGUUCCUCAUUUUCUUCUUCUGUACAUCUUUCUGUUCUCCUGGCUCUUGUAUUCUUUCUGUCUUUGGCAGAAGUCUCCUUGCCUAAUAGGCUUUUCUGGCUAAAUAAAAUUCUUCAAAGGAGUGCUUUACUUGUUAGUUUCCUUGAGUUGCUUUUAAUGCUGUUUCCUCCUGGUAUCGAUUAUCACUCGACUCAUUGAAAUAGAAAAACCUGAAGUAAAUAGUGUACAAAACACUUCAAUUCUCAAAAAAAAUGCAUUCAGCGGUCUGUUUUUAGCUAAGAGCAGGUCCCUUCUCUUCUCCCUACUUUUAAUUUCACUUCCAUUAUCCAGGGGCAACAAGCCAAGCUGCAGUCUCAUUCUGAUUUCAUUAAUGUUUUGCAAACUCUGUCUCAAGGACUAACGCUGCUUGCUGGGCUUGAUGUCAAAAUCCAAGGUUUUGCUGCGGCACGGGGGAAGGGAAAAUGAAGGAUCUCUGACAAAUAGAAGUGAUGGCUUUGUUAGCAGACAAGUAGAACUGCGCAGUCUUUACAGUGUCACUGCAUAAUGAAUCAAAAUUGUUGGCAAUGAGAUCGUCUUGUUUGAAUGGUUUUCGUUUCCUAUGGAAAUGCUUCUUAUCUUCUGUGCACAGUAUCUUAUCAGAUCUCUGCGGUCUCCUGAAAACAAAGAAAGGGUGUCAGCUAUAUGUUUAUAAAGCAAGGUUGGUGCAGGGAUUUUUCUCUGUUUUUUGUACAAGCAAUACAUAGAUGCUUCUUACACCUCUGGUUUUUCAGUCAUUUUAACUUCCUCCCUUGAUCUGAGCUUUUGAGAUGCACGUUACCAAUUAAUCCCACUGGCUGCAAAGAGGAAAAAGAUGCUAUGCUGCCAAAAAAAAAAAAUAGAAAUAAUUUCAAACAACACAGUUUUCUUGAAGUAGAGGUAAGAGGAACUCAUUUUGUUAAGAAAAUGUGGAUUAACAAAUUUAACAAUUCUAUGGCCACAGGUGCAGAAUAAGAUGGCUUGGAAUAUCAAAAGAAAAACAUGUUAGCUGAUACAGAAAGGCAACAGAAGCCAGAGCUUGCAGUGGCACUGAGGGGUGUUAGAUCAGUUUGUGGGCUUUGGGGCACGUGCCCAGAAUGACGUGAUGUAUGGCACUCUCCUUUAUGUGACACGGUGACCAAAUGCGCCAAAGGCAUUCAGAAGCAGCGCAUGUCAUUAGCUCGUCCCCAGGGCUUCUUGCGGGGAGUGGCAUCCAGAGCCAGCUUGGCCCUGCAGUCUGCUCACAUCCCAAGGCUGUCGUCUGGCUUUUAACCGCGCUUGGUACAUGGCUCUUUGCUCAGCACAUGCAAUGGAGGUAAGGAGGAGUUUUACUUUAUGGCUGUUUUAGGCAGGGUCUUAACAUCCUCACUUCUCUCACCAGGGCUGGGUUUAGACCACUAAUACUGAUGUUGUGUUUUUUUUCCUACGGUUACUUGGAACUAGCAUUAUUUUUUUAUUUGAGCAAUGGGAUUAGUGACGCUGACGUUCCUGUUAAUUUAUGUCUUGUACUUGAUGAUAAAUUCUCAGUGGAGGUUAAACUGAUUAGAAAGUCUGUCUCCCAGGCAGAGGUUUCAGUGACAAACAAGGGUCAGGGCUUUCCUUUGAGUUAGGAGUUGCUUGCAGGGUCUGCCUCAGCUACUUGGACAUCUAUUUUCCUGCGACUUGUAGGAACUCUGCUAUCUCUGCUUCUGUACCAAAACAGGCUGAAGUUGUCCCAUUGACUCAACAAUUAUUAGUGAGGGAGAAUGUAAUCCACAUAAAACUUGUUUAUAUGGGUUAGAGUUGAGCUAAUGGAUUGUGAUCCUGAUGAGGAAAGUCGGUUUCGUAUGAGUUUACAUCUUUUUCUCUUCUCCGCUCCUGCCACAUCUUCCAUUAGCUUUGCACCAGAGCAUCCCAGUUUCUCUGUGGCCCUUUGCUGUCCUCUGGACGAUACACAGUGAGUGCUGGAGUAGCUUUGGGUGCUGGCUGGCCAGCACUGUAUGUGCUGCCUGCUUUGGAAGGUCAGAGUCAGCAGUGCGUGGUGAACUUUUGUGCCAGUGCUUUCACCGUUUGAGGGGAAGGGAUGACUCACCUCAGUUUGUUCUCCAUUUCUAGGAGGAAAAUGCACUCUUGCUCUCAGGCUAUGUUUAAAUAUUAAGAGUUAGGAUAGCAGAUUACAACAGCAGAAGUUUGGUUUAGUAACUUCAGGAAGGAUACCCUGUAUAACCUGUCAGGAAAACAACCAUCAAAGCACAGAAAUCAGUGGGGGAAGAAGCUCAUCAUGAGCUCCUCUCAACUCGUGUGGCCUCCGUUGGAGGAAGAAGUGAUUAGGUGCAGGCUUCCAUUUGGUGUGAAGGGCUGGCGGCUGCUGGACUCAUUUUGGAAGCUUAUGUCAUCAUCUUGCUUAUUUUCGUGGUCUGUGUGAAGUCAGAUUCCAAUAUACUCUUCAGGAGGGUUAUAUUCACCAACUUCAUGGGGCUUAAAACAGUGUUUUUUGUCUUGGCUGUGAUAAGUAUGGUAGCUUGGGCAUUAGCAUAGUAGCAGGAACAACAAAAAGACUGGAAUACAUUUAGUAAAAUACUAAUUUCCCUUUCCUUCACUUAUCAACUUAACUCUUUCUUCCUGUGAAGCUCUUUGCUGUAUAAAAUUAUGUCAUGAUUAUACAGGUCUGCAAUGGCUUUUAACGUGAUGAAUAAAAGGCAAUCAAUUCACCUGCCCCAUUGAUUCAGAAGGUGCUAUUCCCUGAUGGAAACCUGAGCCUGGCAUGACAGAGCUGGGAAAGCCAGGAGAGUCUGCGGUGCUGGUAGUGUGGUAGGAAAAAGCCGAUGGAGCAGCAAUGCUGCUGACUCAUGCUUUGCAAACCUGGAACAUUCCCCGAAAGGCUGGAGAUGCAGAUUAACUUCCUUUCCCUGGUGUGGUCAGAGGACAAUUCAUUACAUUAUCUGCCACUGACUGAAGCCUCUAGAUAGUUAUGCACUGCUGCUUUUGCACUGAUAUUUGAUGGGCAGUGCAUUAGCAUGGAGCUUGCGAGAAAUCACGGGCAAUUUAUUUUAAUACAUUGAGUGUCGGUCAGUGCUAAAUCACAGAAGCUAUUCAGAUUUGUUUUCUGAGUCAUCCUGGCUCUUGUGAUAAGGUGAUUUGUCAGUGUGUGUGGUUAGUAAAUUGGUUUCACUUUUUCCUUUCCUUACUUUUAAUAUUUGCUCUUAGAAUUGCAAAUAUAUUCCUUAAUUGGCCAAAAGAAAAUGAGUCACAUUUAGGAAAGUGCCUUUCUUUAGCCUCUUCAUCACCAAAGGGAAGAGGUUUAUGAGUGCUAGAGACAGGAAUAGAGAGCAGUGGGGGGAAAGACCACAGAGCUGUGUGUGUAUACGUCAGUACAAAGCUCCUGCUGUUGUCUGGUUGCCUCAGUAGCCUGUGUCUGCUGGUCCUGAGCCAUUUCUGUCCACGUGCCUGGAGGGACCCGAGUGCUGCGCUGCUCAACAGUGUAGUAUUUAGUACUGACAAACGGCAUCGUGUGCUGGAAGCCAUAGACCUGACUUUGGCUGGGGAGAGAAGGGGCUGUGUGGCAGCUUGGGGGACCUGUGUGUGACAUGUCCACCCUUCUCCAUUUAGGUGUUUGAGUUAUGGCCGUGGCCUGUAGGCAGUUAUGAAACAAACCCACAGCACAUUGCUGUGGCGUGUUCCUUGAGAAAUCACUGACACCUUUGUGUACGAGACAGCGUGGUCCCCUGCAUAUAAAGCACAGCAGAAGGAAAAUGGUGCUAAAGCAGCAUCUGAUUUUUUAUAGGAGGGAGAGAGCCAGGCUGUGUCCUGCAGCUAUGAGCUCUGUCACCUCAGUGCUGCUGAGCAGUACUGUUGGUUGCUGGCCUUAGGCCUCAGCGUGCUGCUGGCAGCAGUGCACAGGCUGGUGCCUGCUGCUCUCCUGCAACUAUGUCUUACAUCUCCUGUGAGCGUCAGGUAGGAUGCUGGUGUCUUAUCAGUUCUGUACUGACAUUUCCAAAAGAUGUCACUGGAGUUGAUGUGGAGUUUCAUGUGGCAAGAAGCCUCACUGGCCAGUGUGAUUUCACCCCUGCUAUAUAUAUAAAAUGAUUUUUUUUUUUGUACAGGGUUGCAAGGAUUGGAGGUAGAUUGGGUUCUGCCUUCAUACGCUGUAGGCCUGGGGACCAGGCUGUUGUGUCCAUGAACCAGCACAAUAAUGCCUUUCUGCCCUCCUGGUCACCCUAAGCAACAGGGAGCAGUCUCACUGCAAAGCUGGCUUGCUUUCUUUGCUUUCUGUUCAUGUGAAAGCAAAAGGCUUAAGAUCCCACUGCGCUGUCACAGGCCAUCUGAGAGAUCUCUGACUGGGGUCAGGGCAGGGCCAAGGCCAGUAAUGUUUAAUAAUUCAGCACAGAACUACCUGCUUCAGGAUUUCCAGAGUUGCAGCAGUUUAACUGAAAUCUGUCUAAGGGGAUGUUUAUGUGCAUCAAUCCCAGACCUUUCUCAGCACUUCCUAAUGUGGUGGUGGUGGCUCAGCUAUUUGAUUGCCUUUAGGAUCCUCCAUGUUGUGUUAAUGCAGUACCAGUUGAGUUUACACUGACCCAAGAUGGCUGAGAGCUGUACUGAUAGUGUGAUGUUAAAGCAUGGCAUCACUGCAGCUGGAAUGUGUGCCUGGCUUCACCCUGCUGCUGCUAUGGGGUGCAGCACAGCUGCCAUGGUGCUUGCCCGUGGGCAGCUGCCAGGGAGAAGAAAUCCCUGCCACAAGGUAGGGUAUUUAUUAGGUCUGUGGGAAACUAGAAGCACACAAGCUUUACUUCUAAGUGAAGCACAGUGUGGCUGUUGGUGCUGUGCGGUUAGCUUGUCGCUCAGAACGCAUGCACUGAGGCUGGUGGGCUGCUUCUGUGCUGUGUGCUCGGCAUCUCUGCAAGGACAAGGCUGAGGAAUCUUGGGUUUAGCAACGUGAUGGUAAAACUAAAGGUACAUCAGCAGCAACUUCAUUUCUCCUUGGACGGAUGCGCAGUGCCUAGGAGAACUGAAUCCUCUUCCUUGGAAAGUUGCCACGUAGCCCUGCAGUACAAGCAGGCACAUUCAUAAUCAUUAAAAGGAGAACCGAAGCUAUUCUUUUCAGUGGUGGUAUUAUGUAAUUAAUAAAGAGAACAGCCGUAUUUGUAGCAGCAACUGUGAGAAAUGAACAGAUUUGCUGACUUCAGCGACAUUUGCUACAAAAUACUGAGAAUGCCCUUGAGUAUGUAAAUGAAUGUGCUUAUCCUUAGGGUCAUUGUAUUUCGUGUCUGUUGGUAGGGAUGUCUUUCCUUGCACCCAAUUCUUGUGGGAGUCAUUAUGGGCAGGUAAACUCAUAGAAUCAUAUGGACAACCUCUAAAUGUAGUUUUGCAAUUGAGUCACAGCUGGCAUUUGUACAAACCUGCAAUACUUUUCUGAGCCUUCCCCAGAACAGGAAACUUGAGCACUUCAGUGAUAAAUUAUAGAACAGGAGGGGUGGAGACCUGUUCUGUGAUACAAGUAAUGCAUCCGUACAUCUUGCAAACAGUUUGCAAACUGAGAAUAAUUCGUUGAAAGAGAGUAUCUUCAAACAAAAAAGCAAACAAAGAGGUUACUGGUCUGGAUGGUGGCACUUCCCCCGGUCCCCACACAGUCUGCUGUUUGCUGUAUUGUUGUGCUUUCCAAGGAGGGCUCUGAGAGUCCAUGAGUCAGAGGCCUUGAGCUUCCGAGAGGAUUUGUGUGACCCUGAGUAUGGUUGGGAAGGGUUCUCGGGAGUCUUUGAGUGAGUCUAGUAUUAUCAUGUUGGAAUUCAGCUAUUUCCUGUGUUCUUGUCCUGUAACUCGCUUUUGCCUUGCCAGUAUUUGACAGAUCCACCUCUUCUUAAACCCGGUUUGUGAUGGUGGUUGUUUUACUGUAUUCCUCAUACACCAGAGCCUCUCUCUCCCCGGACAGGUCAGGAGCCAAGGUGCCUGCAGCAGCCUGGCCGGAUAGCAGGGCUCACGUUUACCUAAAAGCUGCUGUUUCUGGGCUUUGGAGGAGCCAGCGGCAUCGCCACAAACCAGCUGUUGUGCUGUGCCCUGGCUGGCAGUGAUGAAAUGCACCGGUAGAGAAAUGGGGCCAUGCCAGAAAGGUGCAUUCUGAGACCUUUGGCACGUAGUAGGGACAACCCAGAUCUGAUGUGGAUGUGACUGUUCACUGCAGCUUGGCACGACUGCCAGUGCCAGCCCACAGCGAUCUGCUGCGCGGUGCUGCUACAGCUAUUUCUGGUAAGGAAGUCGGUGGGAGGUGUCUGGAGCCCUCCAGUGAAGCACCAGCUGGGAUGCGGCAGGGAUACGUGGGGCAGGGUCUGGCCCAAGCACAGGUCAGACGCUCCGUCCACACUCCUGAAGAGCAGGGAAGCUUUCUGCUCACAGCCGUGCAGCGCUGCCGAGGACAGUUUGUGCCUUUACAAAUUGGAGAGCUUGAAGCAUCAUAUUCUUCUAUUUUUCUUUUUUUUUUUUUCCCCCUCAGUUAUAAGGUGAUUCGUGUGGAAAAUGUUACUGCCUUCUGCAAAUUAUAUUUAACACAGGGCUCACGGAGACAUCGCCCAAUUGCUGUGUAUCCUCUAUAGGUGUCUUGUCAGGUGACCGUGGUUCUGUUUCAGGUGCUUGUCAGGCACUAGGACUAUCACUGCUCCAUGUGGAUGGACGCUGGAUAACAUCGUGACUGUUCCACAAAGUGCUUCUUGGCUGUGGAACUCAAAACUUGACUUUUAUUUUCAUCUGUUAAGCAGAGUUUAUUCUGUGUGAACAUCAGUAUUUGACGAUGGAUGGCCUUUGCAGAAUAUUUGUCAUUUUUCCCCCCAACAUAUCAACCUCUGAACAUGGAGAACAGCAGUGAAACCUACGGAAAGGGACUUCAGUCAACUCCUUACAUUUUUAUCCACGUGUUCACUUCCGUUUUGCUAAUGUUUGCAUUGAUGUUUUCUGUAGCUUUCUGUGUUACAAGGAUGUGAGCAUCUCCCUUCCACCAGCACCGUUCCCUGUAGAGUUCACUAAAGGCAGCAAGAUGCCCAAACUGUGUGUUCUGUCAGAACAAAGGUUUUUGAAUCCAAACAUUUGGAUUCAAUUCAAGUUAUGGUGCUAAUAGGCUUGCUUGCAGGGGUGCCCUCUUUCCCCUUAAAACAAGGGGAAGAACUAGUUUGUCUGGGGAAGGGAAGUCAUAUGUUGUAACAGAGGCUUAAAAGGGCUUGUGAGGAUUUACAGCUGGGAGUGUUUAUGAGAGCUGAACCCGGAAUGCUUCCGUUUCCCAGCGGUACAGAUAGCAGAGACAAUUACGCUGCACAGUCCUGUGUCUGAGCUGGAGCAAUCUGCGUGGUGUUACAGCCCUCAUCUUGUGGUGUACGUGAGAGGGGGGCCUGUCGGACUGCACAGAGGCUGGCUGAGAUGCUCUGUCCAACGCAGCGCUCCCCUGCCUUCCCCAAGCUGCUGCUUUGUCCCAGGCUUCAGCCCACAUGUACCCAAGUCACAGAGGCACAGCUUAUCGCUGCUGGGCAGGAGCAUCUGUCCCAGCUUUGCUUAUUUUGCACUUGUCGGGGAGGAUGGGUGAAUUGGUAAACGAUGGUGUGAAAGGGAAACCCAUGACCUCUGCACCUGCUGCAGGUUAUAGGGCUCCAUGUGAUGCGAGUCGGGCAUUGAAUCCACACGUCUGGCGCUGUGAUGGGUGUAGGAAGACCACUUAGCUGUUUAAAUAGACUCGAUGGCUAUUGUGUGGCUGCCAUCUGUCCUCUUUCUCACAGCUUUGUUAUCAUUUUUAACCCCAUCUUACUACGUCUCCAAAGCCCUGGUCAGUCUGCAUUCAUUGUUGGAUAAAGGAACGGCUGCUUUUCUUAACAGAAAAUAACCUCUCUGUAAUGGUACUAAAUCAUUCUUUCCCCCCCCCACCCCACUCCCCUUUUGGCACGCGUGGCUUUCUGUGCCAUGACUGAUAGCAGGGACCUUACUGCAACAUUUCCCAUCCUGAUAAAUCAGCGUGCUUUAAUGGGGUGCUCUGCUCUAAACAGAAACCAGUAGCUGUAUACACAAUAGCUGUAGCAUUAGGUGUUAAAAGCCAAAAUGCAAUUUGCAAUUUAAUGUAUUAGCAGGGAAAUAAAUGCAAGGUUGGAGCGAGACAAGGGCUGGACAUGGAAGGUGCUUCAGGGAACACUUGAAAAAUUUUGCUUACAAGAGCUGAGUGGAUUGAAGGAGCUUGAAGGGACUGCUGGUAAGAAAAAUGCAGAAGCAAACGUGCAGAGUAUUGCAGAGCCUGUUCUUUGUGCCUGCUGUAUCUGUAUCAGCCUUCUCACCUGCUGUCGAGAAAUGGUACUGAUGCAGAAGCUGGUUUUGCUGUCUGCCUGGCAGGGCGGAGCAGGCUGAAGUUCUUUGCAGCUCUGGCUCAGGUCCAGUGCUGGCUGUGUGCAGCAGCUGCAGGAGGGCUGCAGCAGUGCAUGCAUGUGAGUGCUGUGAGCACUUGGUCUGCAGUUCAUGUUCUGUUGAUGUGUUUUAGCCCAACGUUCUCAACAUCAGUAAUAAAGACUCUUUAGAGGGCUGCAAACACUGAAGAGCCCAAGUGAAAUUCUUCUGUACUGUGCAUUGCUCAUGUUCAGAAUGUGAAGUGGAAGGGCCAUGUGACUGCUGCAGGCUCACUUAAGUAAAAGUAAGAAGCAAUUGGGAAGCAGAAAGGCCAUUGUAAAGAAAAUAUUAUACUGAAUACAACAAUUUGAAGGAUGUGAAGCUGGUGUGAGGACACUCAGACACAACAUGUUUGCACAUAAGAAAAUCUGUUCUUAGGUACAAAGUGCGCUUCCCUGAUUGUGACUUUAGAUUCAAAGCAGUGGAACAUUGAUGCUUUGUUUCUGGAGCAAGCAAAGCACUUUGCUGCAUGGCACCUGCCGUUUGCUUCUGUGGCAGUGGAAAAGCAAAGUUAGAGCCUACUGAAACAAAAAUAGACUUUUUUUUUUUUUUGCAUUAGUGAGCUAUAGAUUGGGCCGAUUGAACCCUUAAAGAAUGGCUUUAAUGAGAAAAGAGAAUGCAUUGGGGUGACCUCAGUAGCUGUGUGAGAAGGUGUGAAGGGUGCUGUUGCCAAUGGGAGCUUGUGUUGCUGAGGCUGGUGCAGGAGAGCAGUGGUUCCUGGAGUCCCUUCCCAGCUAAGGAAUGUAGAGGCAACCUACCUGCAGGGGUCAGAGCAGCUCAGCCCCACUGCUGCAGAGGAAAGUCCAGGCAAUGAUAGCUAACACCACGUGGUGCCUUGUAUGGCAUGGAGCUGUGACUGCGACGCCUGCCUGGCUCAGAAGAGAACUUGGCCUUGCUGCAGUCAGCCUUGUUCCGAGGGAAGUGGUAGUGAACAUGCGUUUCUAGCAGGUGACCUGUGGGAUAAAGAUGAGGGAAGCUAAUUGGAAUUGUCACCAUGCAGUCUCUCGCUGGAGGCUAUCAUUAUGCUGAAGAGCACCAUUAACAAAGUUGGCAGAAAGGGAUAAUUUAUUGUUAAAUAUUAACUACUAAAAUUCAACUUCUAGUUAUUCACUCGUGUUGUGCUGUUAGAGCUUUGGCUUGCUUUGGUUUCCAAUUUUCCAUUUCCUCUAAAAUGCUGCUGGCUGCUAGAGACACACCAGUAAUCCAAACCUUGCAUCUGAAAAGCUCUACAACACAUCCCAGUUUGGCUGGUGGGGUCUGUUUCUUGGUUUAUCUUUAGUAGAGGAAAUCGAUACGAUGACAUGUCGUACGUUGCAGGUUAAGAUGUAGCUGCAGUAUGAACGCGGAGGUGUUUAGGUGCAUGCUAUGAUUAUACAAAUGAACGUGUUUUAUUUCACAUCUGCAUAGAUUUAAUGAAUAUGUAGGCUGAAAUUGCGAUGGACUUAGCUGGAUGUUUAAGGGUAAGGACGGUGGGGAGAAAAUACUGAAAAGGCUGUUUAAAAUGAAUAAUAUUUCUUCUGGAUGGUUUAAUAACAGCACACGCGGCUGUGUGGGCACAACCUUAAAAAUUAAAGUCACGUUGAAAUGCUUUCAUUUCCAUAUUCAAACAGAUUUGUGUGGUUUUAUUGACUGGUUGCAAACAGUACAUUAAAACAUAUGCCAUCAAAAUUAGGGCAGUGUUUCCUACAGUGUAGAUCUGUACUGCGUGUUAUUUACUUUAUCUGUCUAUGGAAGUCCCAGUGGCAGAAGUCCCUGCAUAUGUUCUCCAUAAACCCACUGAGGAUGUGUGUUUCAUACAGAACAGGCUCAUUAACAAUGUGAGCAUGGUGCAUGCUUUUGAGCGGCUUUGAGCUUUCUUGCAUACAUUGCCAAUUUCAGACCACGUAAGAAAUGGUUGGUUCCCAUCUGGGCACCUUCUCAGCUGCUGGAGCCUGAUGGAAGCUGGAAGCAAGCUUUGAACUUAUGAUAUUCUUGGGAUGGAGAAAGUAUUUUCUGUCAGUGGGUUUUAUUAAUAAUUAGUAGUAGCUUGUAGCAGGUGAGUUGUUUGGUGGGGUUGUUUUUGGCUCAGUUGCAGUCAGUGAGCUCUUUCCUUUGUGACUGAUGUGAUGGUGUUGGGUGGGUAACAAGGUAAUUAAUACACUGUGCUCAUCAGGGUUGUCCUGUGGCUGCUACCAGGUGGGAUGGCUGCAAGCAGCUUGGGAGGUUGGCAGAGAGAUGCACCUUCCUGCUGCUGUGUUUCUGCCUGUGGAUAGCAGCUGUGUUCCUGGAGCUGGGCACGGCUGUCCUGUGACACUCAGGUACGUGAGGGCAGAAAGACUUCGUGUAGCCCCAUGCUCUCAUUGCUACACAUAGAACAUAGCUUCAGUCUUAGUUCAAGUGAUAAAAGAGCUUUUUCAAGACCUUUUCUGUCUUCUGCUUCAAGAUGAGGGUGGAUUGGUUUUUUUUUUUUACUAGUUACCUGGUUUCUCUCUUCUUGUUUUGCUUUCCUAAGCAAAAUAAGUAAUUCACAAUGUCCACUUCAUCCAAAGGAGUAAAUCCCCUCUUCCAACUGCCUGAGCCAUGUGAGCAGCCAUUAGGCAGGCCCCUGGAAUUAAAAGAGCUGCAUUGAAUAGUGUCAUGGAGCCUGUUCCUUCAUUAUUAAUGGACACCUGAAGAUGUCCAAAGCAAAUUUAUUGUGAGUGCAUGCAUAAAUAUGGAAGGUCAUUUUGUAUUUAGUAGUAGCAGUAUUUUCUGGCUUUAAAUGGUUACUUUGGUACCCAGUGUGUGCUCUGCCUUCAUCUCAGCAUUUCUUUGUCUCAGUUUCCUUGGAGUGCCAUUUGUGCCAAUGGAUUAGAUCCUAUUCCAGUUGUUACUUGUAAAGCUAUGAAUAUAAUGCACACCAUCACUUAUCUACAUCUAAAUUAAAAAUACCAUGGCUGACUUUGUAGAGUGAUCCCCUGUGAUGCAGGAAUACAGCAAAAUUAAGGUUGCACCCUGUAAUUCCUGGUGCAUAAGAGGCUGGUUGUCAGGUAGGGCUGCAUGACAGUAGGGAGAUGCAGCCUCAUUAAGGCAGAUUGAUUACUUAUCUCCAGCCUUGUGGCACUGAGCAUGUGUACUGGGUUACAGGACGUGUGCUCUGUCUUCUGUUGCUCAGAUGUUACGGCCCCACUGUCAGUCACAUUCAGGAUGAGUUGUGUGGCCAUAUUUGCUGCUGGGUGGAGCCUGUUACUGGAACACCACUUGUCUGCAGAAUUCAGACCCAAACUUCCAGAGGUGGUGUUGUGGUGGUAGGUAAGGCUGUAGCUUCCCUCAAGUAAUUGUGGGCUGAUGCCUUUGCUGUUAGGCCCUCACUGUGGUGUAGCGGGGGCAUAGAAGACCAUGGCCAGUCAAUAAGGAGAGCAAAAUACAACUACAGGAAAGCACGCUCAGCCAAGAGGCAAUUCAUUUUGAAAAAUGUUUUAACUGGUUUAUAGUCAUUUGGGCUGAGCUACUUCCCAUGGCAUAUGUUUUCUGGGAAAUGGGCCAGCCCAGUAAUAAGAGGCCACAAGAAAAUUGGCACUAAACAUGUGGAUGCAAGGGGCUUGAGGAAAUGAAAGCUUAAUAAAGGCUGAUACCAUCUGAAUAACCUUGCAGGGGCUCAGUUUGGAUGCCACAUGGUCUCCAGGAGCACGGAUAGUUCUGCUGCUGUGACCAGCUAUUGGACUGGUAUCAGACCCUGAGGUCCGCUUGAGCUAACUCAAUGAUGGAGCUGUUCCAUUCUGAGUCAGGCAGAUGGGAGUAUGCAGUAUGCACCUGGACGGUGCCCUUCUGCACCUGAGAGAAGAGACUUGCACCUGCAAGAGGAAGGAGAGGCCAGACAAAGCUCCCUGCUGCUCCAUUGCUCAGUCCCUGUUUUGAUGCAUUUCCCCAAUUCAUGCAAAUCCCGGAGAAAUCUGUUCUUAAUGCCUGAGAAUAAGAAGCCAUUGGAUUUCUUCGUUUGCAUUCAAAAUACCGUGUCUCCUAAUCAUCUCAAAGCAGCAGACAUGAAAGCUCCUUCAAGAGAGAUGUCACGAAAGGUCACACGUUUUCCUUUGAGUGAUGAGCAGUACUUUUAAAGGAGAUUAAGUUAAACUUCAGACCUAUGGCCUAUAUGUUCUGUUUACUGCUUGCAGAAGCUGCAGCCCUUUGCUAAGAGGAGUGGAGAUGCUGUCAUCACAGCUUGGGUUGAAAGUCAGAAAAUCUGUGUGCACUUCCCUGCUGCGCUGCAGAGCCUGGCUGUGGUUUCAGCAAAGGCAUUUUAUCUUCCUUGGCCUCAAUUCACAGUCUUUUAAGAACAAAAAAAGGGCACAAUGCAGCACAUUUUUUAGAAAUAUUUUCCUUGAAAAUGAAUCCGCAGGUAACCCUCAACAAUCUGAGGCAGGGAACGGGAGAUAGCUCAACAGCUGGAGAACAGGAGGCAGGUUGUGGACUACUGAAGGCAGGUAGCUUUGCUGUCAUGCUGCUUUGUAGGAUCGUUGCCUGACCUGAUGCUAAAUUACUUCUUUAUGUAUUUUAUUUUAUUAGAGAGCCUCUGUGUCAUAAAUAGAAGUACCUGACAGUAACUGGGUUUUCCUUUUGUUUUCUGUUUGUGUGUAUUGGGCUGUUAACUCUUCAAGGACCAACAUCUCAGUGCCUGUGGUGACAGUUCUUAGGCAAAGUCUGCACAUGUUGCAGGUACGCUCAGCCCCUCCAUGUAUUGCACUACAGCCAUGCACGUUGGCUGUUGCCUCAGCUGAGCAGGUGUUUGAUGCACCCCUCCCCUUGCUUGUGCUUUGCUAGCACAGAUGUUUGCUCCCAGCAGAGCAUGUGGCCUGAUGGAUGCUUCAGCAGGAAUAAGCCCUGAACUAUGAUCCACUGCCUGCAAGUGUUGCCACAUCCUCUGUGAAUCUAUUUUCAAAUGUGUGAAUUGAAAGUGGAUCAGGAAUUUAACAAGAAGUAUCUGUCAAGUGGGCAGAAGUGCUGGUCUCUGUGUAACCGAGUUCUCUUUAGGACUUUGCCUACAAUGAGCCACUCUCUUGGUCUGAGGUUUAAAUUGUGCUAAGUACCUGAAAUAGGCUGCUACAGAGCGCUGCAGCCUUUGUGCUCAAAUGGAUCGGUCUAUUUGGCUUUCAGUUACUUUCUUUAAUCUCCUUUAAGGUGUUUAUGUAACAAAAUGGUGUUUCAGGAUAGCUAUUAUGUACUUCUGAGUAAUGAGUUUCUGUUUUGGAAGUUCUGCAAGAUUUACGUGGUAGCUCAAAAAAAGAGGCAUGUUUGUUGGGUAAGGUACAAAAAUACUUCAAGUUGUUCAAAGAGGGAUUUGGUCUUAAUGGCUUUGCUGUAACCCAUAAAAACCAUAAUCUGAAGGUCGAAGCACUAUUUUUGUCUCGUUCCCUCUUCAUAGAAGUAUUACAAUCAGUGUCGUCUAUUGUUGGAAGAAGCGUGGCACUGUGAGCGAGCAGUGCAGCCUGGCACUUAUGCAGUCUCAGGCCAGUGAAGUGCGGCUUUCAGCCUGCAAAUCAUUUCCUGAGGUUUGGUCAGCUUAGGAGAAAACAUUGUUAUUUUAAUGCAUUUUGAUGCAAUCAGAAGCAUGUGGCACUGAAGGAGAAGAAUCAUUUUCUUUACAGGGAUUUAGUUUCAAGGGGUUAGAAAUCUGUAUUUACCCUGGUUUUCUCGUUGGCUUGCCCCUUGCUAAGUAUUUUCAGAUGCACCAUGCAGAUCUUUUUACGGGAGGAAAUGGGACAGCUAAUGCUUUCUGCUGUGGUAUACUGUGCUUUUUUGUCGUCUUAGGGCUGCUUGCUUGCUUAAUCAUAAGCCAAUUUAAGUAUACUAAUGGAACACGCUUUUGAACCGCUUAUAAAUAAAGGGUAAAUAAUUAUAUAUAUGAUCAAUAAUUAUCAGAGAAAGAGGUUAGAAAAUGGAGAGGAGGAGCUUUGAGUGUUGUGGCUCCCGGCAGAGCCCGUGCCUCCUGCUGCUGGCUGUCGCUGCUCCUGGGGAGCUCAUCUCAACUUGUCUUGGCUGUGGGUUUCUGGAGAGAAGAGGGUACACAGGGGGACUGGAGAGCCCAGAGCCCUUUGAGCUUCCUCCUGUUUGUUUCACUGCUUUGUCUUGUACUGGUCUCGUGUCACUGUGUUAGCAGCUCUUACUUCUCUGUUACCCAACGUUGACACAAGGGGUAUGAGAUGAAUCCUCCUGAAUUCACGUGGCAGCAUCUUCCUGGCUGCCCUGGCGCAGCUUUCCACAUUAACCCAGUCUCAACUGGUGCUCCAAACCUUCGUCAUUCACAGCAAGGUGCCUUUGGGUUUACAUGUUCCUGGUCUCAGUAGCAGAGUCCUGUAUCAAGUCACUGGGCAGCAACAGCGGGUGGCUACUUCAGCUGCUGGUCUCUGCCCAAUGCGACUAAGGAGCAUCAGCCCCACUAUCCCCCACCAGUGCUUUGUGCAGCACUGACCGAUGCCAAACCUCCCGCAGCGAGAGGCAGUCUGUGACAUGGGCUCAUCCUGCCCGAGCAGAUGGCUGCCAAAGAGAGGAGGUGUCGCAGCUUUCUAUAGGAUUUCCAGACCCUAAGCCAUCACAGGAAGCUUGCCCAAAACUUCAGAACCUCGACUCAGCUUUGGCUUCUAACAAAGGUACUUACUCGUUAGCCUUGUUUUUUAAUUAAGUGAGACUGUGGUGCUACGGUUCCUUGUGAAACCACAGGAUAGGGGUCUCCUAUUCCUGGCAGCUUCUAGUUGUUUUAAACUUUGUGAAAGAUGUCCGUUUUUUAUUAAAGUAAACAAAAUUAUCUGCAAUAAGUGCUCGAAAGAAAAACAUUCUUGUUUCUAUUAAAUCCCUAAACUUUAAUAAGGACACACAAGUGUGCGUUCUUUAUGGGCAGCCUGGCCUCAGCCUGACCUCAGCUAGCCAUCUGGAUCCCUAUUUCUUAAUAAUAAUGUAUAGUCUGAAUUUGGCUUUUAUGACUUAUAGCUUAAGCUAUUAAAUACAGAACAUUUGGUUUCACAGGAACUACAGAAUUUUCAAAUAAACAACAGGUUGGAAUAUAUAUACAUUACAUGAGAGAGCCCUCACAGCAAACUCCUCAGCUGAAAAGCUUUGUGUCAGUUAGGCCCAUGGGCUGAGGCUAUAGGGUAUGGGCUGAGGCUAUAGGGUAUGCUGCUGCUGGCACUGAGAGGUGUGCAUGGCAUGCCCUGGGGACACUGUGCUGCCUGCCCAUUUACUGGCAUUUUGGCAAAGCCAGUGUUGCUUUAUAAAAGCAAAAUGCAAACAAAAGGAAUCAACAAAUUUAAAUGAACAGAAAAGAGAGAGAUGGGAAAAGAUGUCACUGAUCAAGUGGGCAGCAGCAGGACUUGUCUUGAGCUUUAUUUAUGGGCACAUUGCUUGCUUCCACCCCUGCUGCCCGCUUCUUAAGCAGAAAGCCUUGUGGAAGCAGAGGAGGAGUUCUCUCCCAAGAGCCCAGCAGACAGGCAGAGUAGAUUAAUGAUGGGAUGCACUUCUGAGUGCCCGUGGAACCUAAACACAGCUGGUGGGAAGCAUGAUUGCUGCUCCCAGCUGCGAGGCUGGCCCUCUCUGCUGCUUGUGAUGGAGAUGGCACUGCUGCUGCUGGUUGGUGCUGAGCCUGGCUGGGGGUGUGGGGACUUGGCAGGAAGCUGUGGGGUGCAUCCCCUCAACCCAGCGGGGUAGGAGAGCUGGUGAGUGGAUGCUGUGGGCCCCAAGGGAACGGAGGAGUUGCAGCUGUCUGCUGCCAGUCUGGCUCCAGGCUUGAUUUACCAACUGUGCAAUGGAGGGUGAUUGGCUUCCUGAGCAUGGUAGUGUGGUACUCGGUGACCAGUGAUUGCUUACAUGUCUGUUUUGGAGAGAUAUGAACCCUGCCUCGGAGCCUUGCAGUCUGCUUUGGAACCUUCACCCCAGCUUGAAAUUCUGUUCUGUGGCAGCCCUCUGCCCGGUCCCAACAGCUCUUUCACAAAUCUGUUGCCUGCAUGCACUGAGACCAGACUGUGUCUGAAAUUCCAUCAGCCAAACCCUCCUGCACCCUGCUGCUAAUGGACAAGAGCUUUCCUAUAGCAGGCAGUGCAGGUGAAGAGUUUGGGCUAAUGCUUUAUUGAUCGGUUAAAUACAAAAUUAAGAACUACUUGAUUUUAGGGACUGAAGUUCUUCGGUCUCCUCACACAUUUUUCCUACUGUUUCACCUCUGGGGGCCAUACACCUGUGGCACUUGUGGGACCCAUCUCUCCUAAGCAUCACUGAGUCUCCUACCAGUUGGCCUGUUGUAAGGCAAAAAACACUUCUUGCUCCUGUUUCAUGGUUGGAACAUUUCUCCCUAGCUGAUCCUGGUAUCAGUUUCUCUCCGGCAUAAAACAUUACUCAUUUACUUAAGUCACCAGCAGGUCACUAGUUUUGCCACGUGGCAGGAACCAGAUGCACAGGAAGAGGAAUUUCAUUGCAGGUGUGGUUGCUUCGGCAGCACAGAGCCCAGAGCAGUCCCUGGGCUGGGGGAGAUAUUCCUCUUUCAUGAGCAUAGCCUCUGGUCAAGUGAAAAAUGAAGUGAUGAUGCAUUUAUAAUUUGAGGAUAGAUUAUGUCUGAGUGAGAAGGAGACAAGUUCCAUUGAAGAUUGCUACUUCUUAUGUCCUUGCUUCUUACUGCAUUGUAGAAGGGCACGCAUGUAAGCUCAUUUCCUUCUGCUAGGGGUGGCUUUGUGGAGUGUGAAGCUCCUAGUGGCUGUGUCUGGCUGUUUGUGUGUUGGUUCUCCCAUGCACAGCCUCCCAAUGCAAAGUCAAACAGCGACGGCACAUGGAGGGAGAUGUUUCUCAUCGCUCUGGCUGCCAGCAGGGCACUCCUGCAGCAGGGUUAAGCAGAUGGCUUGGGACAACUGUGUCUUCACCAUGACAGCUACCUUACUUAGAUCCUCCACCCAGGGACGUGGAUGUGGUUCUGUCCACAGGGACUGCUGUCCUUCCCUGCCCUUUCCUAAGCUAUCUCUUGUGGCACGUCCCUGCUGCAGGCCAGGUGAGCUCCUGGUCUCUAGUUCCCCUGCCCUGGUAGGAGAGGGAGGCUGGUACUCACCAAGCUUGAAAUCCAGCCCGUUGAUAUCUAGCUGUGAACAUGGGUGGGUACCUCAGAGCUUCCCCAGCGCUGAAACUGAAGGAGGGAGUUGCCUGCAGGACUGUCCUGCUUCCCAUUCCCGAGCUGCUGUGCCAUGGCCCCAUUAGGCUGCUGUCAGCUCGCAGGGGCUGUCCCAGGAUACCUGAGUGUGCUGUGUGUGGAGCUGUUAGGCAUUUCCUUGUAGGCUUGGAGACAGCAAUCGCAGGUGAUGUGCCCUAAACUCUGGCAAAGCAAGCAAAAGGCUCCCAGUACUCAACUGCUGAAUGACUUUGCUUGCCAUAAUUUGCCCUCACCCUGUGACAGGCGACUUGUGCGUUCCAGAUUGCUAACAGAGAUAAGCAGUUUAGGGGUGAUUUAGAGGAUGAAAGGCUUAAAGCCUCUGGGACCUUUAGCUCUGUGGUUGUGGAAGUGUGUGUACUACUGGGAUGCGUGCAAAAGGGACUGGCAGUAUAGUCAUCAGCAAAGCGAUGUGAUUUCUGUCAUGUGUGCCAGGAAAGCUUCCUUAAGGUGUCAGAAUGUGGUCAGUGCUCAGCUAAGGUGCUGUGAAAUGUGGUGAAGGAAGAAGCAGAAAUCCAAGGUGUGGCAGCAAAAUGUCUCCCAAAAAAGGCAGGGAAUGCCUGCUGACCUGUGCUGCUGGGCCUGUCACAUAUGUUCCCAAGCUGUUUACACAGGUACAGGUUUUCUGGCAAUAGCUUUAUGCCAUUCACGUUUACCUUGGGCAUCUCUGGUGGCGUGCAUGUCACAGUUGAUGCAUGCUAUAGAGAAUAUAUUCUAGCCAAUGUCUUCUGUGUCCCUUACCUCACUUGGUGAUUUGAGUUUCUCUCUCUCAAAUGCAUCCAUCUCAGUGCAAAUCCUCAGCUCAAAUGUGGUUUCCAUGGAUACUGCUCAAUUUGCACAGCCCGGUCUCUGCUCCAUAAAGUUAACUUAGGAUGGUUAGAAAUUGGAUAACAUGCAGCCAGCUGAUUGCAGGAACCUGUGGACCAGCUGUAAGUUAAGGUGGCUUCCCCAUGCAGCUCUGGAGAUGCACCAGAAUCAGCGACUCAGCUAUUGCUCGUCUGGCAUAGUGUGCCUCAUGGUAGCUUACACACAGGCAAGAGGCUGUGCUUGGUUAUGCAGGAGAAUGGAAUUACUCACUGCACGGCAUCAAGAUAAUGCUGGGAUGUAGAUUCCCAUGUUCAUUGCAGGGGAGGUAGACUGUCUGACCUUUAAAAGUUCCUUCCAACUCGAAUGAUUCUGAUUCUCUAUGUAGUUGGGCCUCCUUACUGGCGUAGAGCAGCAGGAGCUGAGCAACUGUGGUUUUCCCCUCAGGUAGUAAGUAGCUCACUCAGUGACCCACACGAUAUUCUUGCAGUUUGAAAACCUGUAAAGUGGGAUUUUAUUACUUUUUCAUCAGAGUCAUCUUCUGAAGUUUGAAUUACGCUUUACAUUGUGUAAUAUCACGCUGGCAAGAAAAGUAAACCAAAGCCAAGCCAAAAAAAUGUGACAUAUUUUUAUUGUGUCUGUCUUGACGUUUCCAUCGCACCUCUGAAAUACUGUUGAGUUCUGGGUAUGAGAUGUACUGAGAAAAUGUUCUGCCUGCCGUGUAGAACAUAGGAGAGUCUGCAGGAUGAGUAAAAUUGGUGCUUUUGAAAAGGAGCCUCUGUCAGGAGGAUGGAGCCAAGCCAGUAUAGUACCUCUUGUUUUAGGAAGUACUGGUAGUCCAAAGACAGAUUAAAUGCAGUAUUUAGUAAGGUACAAGUAGUACCAUACGUUAUUUCAAAGUAUGCUGGUUUUUUUCUGCUGUUCCUUUAUGGAAAAAAAAAAAGUCAUGAUUGUGUCUUACAGACUUAGUGAUGUCUGGCAAAGUCUUGGUGAGAAGUCAGUUUAUACUGAAGUAACGUCUGAAAGGGGCAGGUCUGCUGCUUCCACUAUGGGAGGAGUGUGCGUGUGAGAAUGCUAGACCCAAGUGUGGAAGCGUACAUUUUCUGGUGUAUAGUACAGAGGUGGACAGCGUUGCCCCUGUUAGGGGAAAGGCAUCUCAGAUCUUAAUGAAAUACUUAUUCUUGGCUCCCAGCUUGGAGGGUUGCUAGUUCCCAUUUCGCUAAAUGACUGGAGCAAGCAGUUCUUUUCUGACAAGGAAUCCAGGGAGCUUUUCCUCUCAAGCCUGUGAAGAUGCGUCUCGUGUCUACACAGCAGUUUAAUGGGUGUCUGAAAUAGCUGAGGUUUCUUAAAGCAAAUGGCAAAAGAGUUGGGGCAGUGCUAUGGCAGCAUCUCUCAAUUAGCAGGGUCUUGUGCAGCCCUUCUCCUGGCGGCCGCAUCCGUGGCUGGAGGAAGCCUGCUAGGGCUACGGCUCAGGGGGAAUCCGGGACCGAGACAGUGUAGUCUGGGGGAACUUGGUGACCUGAGCUCUUCUUGCUUUGCUGACGAACUGAGAAAAAAUAGGCUAGCAAUUCACUUUACAAGUCUCUUAGGCUAUUGUAAGAGUUUAUGGGAACUCAUUAUGCGAUAAAUUAUAGAUAUAAAAUAGCAGGUGGCACAUCUUUCAAGCAAAGCGCAUGAAAAUUCGUCUCGACAAGAUUAGGAAAACAGCCCCCAGACCUAUCUUCACUGAGCAACUGCAAAGCAAGGAAGCUGUAGUGAGGAGAAAUGCGCUGUUGAUGACGCAUCUAUGCCAGCGAGCAGGGCAACAUCACAGAAUCACGUAAGAUCAGUGGUCAGAAGGGACCUCAAGAUCAUAGAGUCCACCCUCCCCACUAAAGCAGGUGUCCUGCAAUAGGUCGCAAAGGGUCUCGAAUAUCUCCGUAGAAGGAGACUCCACCCUCCCUCUGGGCAGCCUGUUCCAGUGCUCCAUCACCCUUACUGUAAAGAAGUUCUUCUGUAUGUUAGUAUGGAACCUCCUACGUUCAAUUUAUAGGCCAUUGCUCCUCAUCCUAUUGCUGCGCACCACCAAGAGCCUGGCCUCAUCCAUUUGGCUCCCACCUCCCUUUAGAUACUUAUAAACAUUAGUUAGAUCCCCCCUUGGUCUUUUCCCCAGGCUGAACAGACCCAGGUUACUCAGUCUUAUCUCAUACAGGAGGUGCUCCAGGCCCCAGUUUGUCUUUGUGGCCCUUCGCUCAACAGGAAUUGUUAGCAGAAUGAUUUCUUUCCUACUAGUUAGGAAAUCAUAUGCAGUAUUGGAGACACCAUUUGUAAAACCCAGACACCGUAUAUUUUCAUCAAAUGUAGCAAUUGUCUCCAUCUCUGAGGCUCCUGAAACAUAAACCCCCUCAGGGUCCUGGCCGGGCUGCUGUGUGCAAGCUGUGAAAAUAUUGAUGCACUCAUUUUAUCCUUUGCCUUCCUUGUCCUUCUCUUUCCUUUCUUUAUUCCUUACUGGCAGCCACUAGCAUAGCCAAGUUAUUUCUGCGCCAAGAUGAGGAAACUUUCCUCCUCAGCCAACUAUGCUGACACUGCUAACCUUGAUUUCCAUAAAUGAUUGAACAGUGUCUCCUGUCUGCAGCAUAUUUCAGGCUCCACUUACCCAAGAUUCUUGGAUGCUGAGAGAGCUUUUAAUCUUUCCCAUCUCCGCCUCUCCUCCAGCUUUGGUUCUGACUGUCUGCUCCUCCGUGGCCGUGAGCUGCCCCGACCUGCAGCUGCAGCAGUCCUGGGAUGCUUUUCUCUGCACAGUGACUCUGCCCCAGCUGUAGGGUUUUUACAUUUAUUUUAACAGACUGAGAAAUUUGAUGUGGAUUAGUAUAGUGGAAAGGAGAUUUCUGUGGUUGUUGGACAAGCAGUGCUACUUAAACUGUGGGAAUUAAGAAGCGUUAAGAGUAAUCCAGUCAUUUGUAACACAGAAGCAAUUAAUUAGCGUUUAGAAUAAGUAAAUUUGGGAUGGCAUUGCUCAUUUUUGCAGCAUUAAAACUUUUUGCAGGCCAGCUGGGUGGAAGAGGAACACUUCUAUUAUUUGAAAGCUCUGCUGCUGGGAGGAAAACGUUGAGGGAAAGGAAGAGAGAGUACUCUAAAAGGAAGAAGCUAUGUGGAAACCUUUGGUGCUAAUGGAUCGGAUCCAUUUGCAGCCGUAGUGUUUGCAGACUGUCGUGUAUAAUGCAUUAUUGCGCAAAACACAAAAUGCUUAAAAGUAAUUUGUGGCAAUUUAGGUUUUAUCAUUGCUUGCACACUGCUCUGGGGGAAUGAGGAGCAAAAGACAAGCUCCCAGACAGGAGCGUUAAUAGCUUUAAAAGUGCCAGUUGCAGGCAGCUGGGUGAGGCUGACGACUGCAAGGCAGAGCUGGGCCUCGGGCAGAGGGGCUGGAAUGGGAGCAAUGUACCUUGCUGAGGGGUGGAGGGGGAGCAGCGUGGGGAAAGUAAAUGCUUAGUCCUCAUCACAGUAACUGCGUGGUAGCUCGUGUGGCAGUCUUUGGAAAAGAGCCCUAAACUGAAACGAGGUGCAUUCCUCACUGGCACAAGUUCUUUGGGGAUUUCUGUCUGAAGAAGGAGGGAGAAAAAGAAAGUAUGGGUAUAUAUACACACAAAAGAAGGCUUUCCUAAUGCAUUCUGUGCUGUGAUUACUGGGAGAUGCUCAGAGAGUCAAAAACUCCAUUCGUGUCAGUGUGACCAGAUUCUUACAGGCACUUCAAUGCUAACUUCUCGCUUUCUAGAUAAAUGCUUUGAGUCUGGAGCUGCUGGCUCUGCUCUGCGGGUGGAUGUCCCUCCUGUUCCCUUUCUCUGAAAUGUCUCAUCUUCGUCCUGGUCAGGAGGAGGUGGGAUUGCUGACUACAGCCUGUCCCCAGCAAAUUCUGGGGCAGAAAGACGCUUCCCACUUCUGGCAGGCUGUAUUUUGAUUGCCUGGUAUGGUUGAUAUUCGGCUGCAGGCUAAAAUCACAUUUACUGCAGUAGGCCUUCAGCAGAGAGUUGAUUGAGGUUUCAGUUCGGGCAACUGGAGCGUGUGUUCAAUGCUGAUGAUAAAUGACUGCGUAUAAGUACAGAGCUAAUUAUUAUUUUUGUUUAUUCCUUAAAAUGCUGCCUGAUCACCUGGACUGCCUGCUGCAGGUGUGUCAGUGCUGAAUGCUGCUGCCCCCUGCAUUUAGCGCUCCAAAGAGCCUCCUUUUUGGGCAUGGGCUGCGCAGCGUUGUUUGUAUGGGUGACACAUUGGAGGGCUGCUAGGACACGGAGUGCUGAACGCUCAGCUGUCGAGAACAUCGAUCUUUCUGCUGAGCCCAGGAAACUUAAUUAGCUUAUUUUAACAUUCCUCUUCAUCCUGUGGGGGUUAGAACUGAUGGUAGCUGGAGCUGCGGUUCCAUAUAGCUUGUUUCAUGUCACUAAUUAUUGCAUGUAAGUGGAUGGUACGCUCCGCUGGCAGCCUCUGCAGUGUGUUGGAGCAGUUGCUCUCCUUUUAUUUGCUGUCAGAAUGGUCUGAAACCUUCCCCUUCAAAGCAGCAGAAUCAUUCAGUUCUUGCUGGGUGUUGCUUAGGCAAACUGGUGAAGCAGUGCAGCUAGCACAGCCCUGCAGCAGCAUCAUGGUGCAGGCCAGGAGAUGGGCUCCGCGUGAAAGGAGAGUCUGAUUAAAAUCACUGAAGUUAAAAGCAAAUAAGAGGCAGCCUUAAACACAGGUGGUGGUACCAGCAGUCCCCAUCAUACACCUUUGAGGGUCCCUUUUCACUGACAGUGACCAUUCCAGUGUCAGGCUCCUCUUUGCAUCCGUAGUAUUUGCCCAGCAUACUCUGCUGAAAGACCUGCAAUAGGGGAGAGGGUGUGUAGGCAGGAUACGCAGAAGAGGCUACUUGAACAAGCUAGCUGCUGUUACUGCCCAAGCAUUUCUCACAGAAUGAAAGGCAUCACGAGAGGGGGUUAGCAAUGUGUGUGAUGUAACCUCUGCUAUUUAACGUGCGUCAAGGGGAGCAGGCUUCAGACUGCUGUGGAAGUGUGUAGCAUCUCAGUCCUUACAGUGCUGAGUUUGUGCUAAUCUGACUGAACAGGGACUAAAUAGAGUGUGUAUCUCUCUCUAUUUUUUUAUAGGAACAGAGAGUUUUCCUUGUUUAACAACCACACAGAGCACCCUAUCAUCUGCUUGAACAGGUAUGACCUUUUUUCUUGCUAGAGUAGUUCCACAAGGAGGCUGUUUGACCAGACCUUGAGGCUUGAGAAAAGAGCAAGCAAACUUCUCUAACUCCCACAACGCUUUAUUUUUCUGGGGUUAGUUCCCACUUGUGUUUUUGUUGGUGGUUUUUUUUAGUUCCGUCCUUGUUUUCUUUUACUUUAAAAGCCUCUCAUGUCUGAUGGGAGCCACUGUGCCUAUUGCCUAUGGUGCUGUCUUCUGGUUUGGCUUAGCGAGGACCUGCUUACAGCUCAGGGUGGAGAGAAGAGUGUUAAGGUGGUGUUGAUACUGAAGAAGAGCAUCUGAAAGAGGCGACGGUGCUGCUGCACCCAGCUCUGGUUCAGCAUGCCCUGUGCUGCGCUGUGCCACUGCAUUUGGGAAGAGUUUGGCAGGGCAAUGGUAAGCUUGUACUGCCCUGUUUUCAGAAUUGAAAAUGGUUGGGUUAGAUCCAAGAAAUGAACAUUUUCUCUUCUUUGGAGUUAUAGAGUAUUGUUAAAUUUCUUAGGUUUAUUCUGCUCUUUUGUGACCGAAGUACGUUUCCCUUGGUCCCACUGGGUAGCCUUUGCCAUGCUUCUGAGGCUGCCAGUCAGAUGGAAUAAGUACAAGUAUCAAACAGAACUUGAAAGGAAGGCAAGCUGAUACUACAGAAUGAAAAACCACUUAGCAUGAGAUCUGGCAUCUGUGUGGGUGUGCACACGUGCACUUGUAUAUAUAAGUGUAUCUGUUGGGUACAAGGCUGAUUUUGGAAUUUCUCUAGCUUUUACAACCCAUAAAUCUGCCCAUUUCCUGAACGGCCUCCUUGUUUAUGUCUAUCUGCAGUCUGUCCUGGCCCAAUGAGUUUGAAGGAAAUGUCCGUCAGGGAUCAGAUUUGUCCUUGUAAGUUCUGUGGGUGUAUAAAGGACAAGUAGCUCUUAGGCAAUCUGUGCCAACGCAGACCUGACAGCAAGAUAAGGGCUGUGUGUGCCAGCCUUUCCUGUCCCUGAGGGAUGUGCUGCUGGAGAAGGGACGCAGGCUUCUCCCACCCUACAUGCAUUUGCACUUGCUUAGACGCAUUCUAACCCUAAACAUCCAGGAGGGGUUCCUGGUGGCAGCAAUGUGCCCGAGGAUGUACCAGCACUUUGGGAAGGAACACUCAGCUCCUGGCAUGCCCUGGGGCAGCACGGCACUGCUUGUACUGAUCCUGUGUGCUUUGGGAAUUUUCCCAUGGCCCUGAAGUACCCUUGCAGCCACGCACAAGUAUGAAAUGGAGGAUUAAAUUAGCUUUGUAGAUUUAAAGUAACGGACAGUUUCAUUGCGGUCACCAUUUCUCUGCUGGUGAUAAAAUAAAUCCUCAGACAUCUGCUUUGCUGGGCUUAAGCAGUCUCUGCAUGCCCCAUAAUUAACUGACCGGUCUGAAUUAUUGCUCCUGAAAUAAGGAGAAGACCAUGGAGCACCCCAUAGCCUCUUGGUGCCACCCAGGUGUUUUAAGAAGAGGGCUUGAAGUGAAAGAGAGUGAAAGGCUUGUUCAUCAGAACUGGUAUUUUUUUGUGCAGGUUCCCUGCAUUGGUGGUGGGAUGAUAACAUCUCAUGAGCAUUAGCUGUCCUUUGUCCCUGUAAAGACUAAAAAAAGCAGUGAAAACUAGCAAAAAUAAUGAGCAGCAAAUGGGUGCUGGGGAAAGCUUUGAUAAGGGAGGUUGGUGCUCAGGGAAAGGAGCUUGUCCCAGCACAUCCUGCACGGGGGCAUCGCUGAGGCUGGGCUUGGGUGGGCACGGGAAGUGACACAACCAGCAAGGUGGCACAGAGAGGGCUGCAGGAGGGUGACAGAGCUCACACUGCUGAGCUGUGAUGUCAGUGCGGCCUGUUCCUAGCAUCUAGAGCUGAAGGCUUGGCUUCAGAAGCAGUAUGGCUUUCUGAUGGCGCUGUGUUGAUAUGUUUAUGGACAGCGUGGGACCAAGGAGGACCUGCAGCAUACUCAGAGAGAACAUUUGUACCCCUGCUGGCUCUGCCUUCUCUUUUCCCACGCUGCUGGCUUGUGUAUCUCCUGCUUGGCACUGGGAGAGCUGCAAGGAGGCAUCUCCACUGAGCAACUGUGGAAGGGUUGAAUAAGGCUCUUGGCACACCCGGUCUCACUUCCAGCAUGGCAUCCAGCCCUCCUUCAGCAGCAACCAGCCUCUUAAAAGUAGUCUCCUACUGACCAGUGGGCUGUUCUGCAACUGCACUGUGAGCUAGAAACCUCUCCCUAGCUUCCAGCUGAAAUUUGUCAAUGGCCACAGUGUUCUUGCACAAAACCAGCCUUUGUUUUUAUUCUCCUCUGUGUUUAUCCUUUGUCAUCAGUCUACUUUUUUCUUGCUUUGAAGGGAGUGCUGUUAUUGAUUGUAUAAUCAACCUGCCUCUUUCCUCCUUUCUUGUGAUCUUAAUAGUCAUUUUCUGCACUCUCCUUUGAAAACGCCUGUUUUGAACAAAAGCCAGAACAGCAGAACCAUCUUACUUGUAUUUAUCUGCUAUCAUCAGCAUUUGCUGCAUUUUGAAAGGCCUCGGGCAUGGUUGUUAAGCAAUGGAAAGGAAGGAGAAUGUCCCCUGUCACUAGUAAAUCGUGAUGAUGAUGGUGCUGGUGUUAGUAAUAAUCCUACCUUUCAGGCUGAGUCACUAGUAGAUGCUUCAAACCUGUUUACAGCCCAGAAGCAAGAUUGUUCAGGGAGGAUCUGACAGGCAGAGAUGACAUGACUUGCUGCAGCUUCUUGGUGAGCAGCUCACCAGCUCCUUGGGCCCAGGAGGUGGGCCAGAGAGCCCCGGGGAGAAGGGGAAAAUGUCUUCCUUCCUUUCCCCUGCAUAGUGCUGAACAGUGACAGGUUGGUUUGGAGGACGAGGUUGGCGAGGAAGGGAAGCUAGACUGUUCUGUGUAUUGCAGCUUGUGCUCAAUGCUUUUGUUGUGAUCAGCAGCUGGCAUCAGCACUAGGCCUGCCCACCGCUGUGCCAUAUUUCAGAGGAGCAAAAAUAAGAAAAGUGAGCUGGUGUUUCUAGAUCACAUGGAAACUUAAGAGCAGUGGAGAAGCAUAUUUUCUUUUGUAUCUCUGGCAGUAAAGUCAACAUAGUGCUUCCUGCAGCUCAAGAAGCGGUCCAGUGUGCUCAUGUUGAAUUUUCACAUAGCUUCCUAGUGCUGAGUUCCAUGGAAGUCUUCCACAAAGUGCGUGGCUCUGGCUGGUGGCAGGGCACAGGGAUCUGCUUUCACACCAGUGCUGGGGCUGGAAGUCGCUGCUGCCUGCCACGCCGUCGUGGAAAAAAUGAUCCCACUCCAAGAGGAUAGCUUUGAGUGUCUUUGUAGCACGAGGAGUCAUCAGCUGCUUCAGCAAUCCUGUCCCCUUUGGGCUCAGUGCUAGAAAACAUGCUCAGAGUUAAGGCUGAGUUACUGGGCGUAAGCAAUGAUGUUAGUAAACACGCUUCUGAAACAGAUAGUGGGAGUAAUGGGAGUGCUGUGAGCAUUCUGGCAUGAGAGGGGUUUGUGAGAGGCGCGGAUUCAUUUGUGUUGAGGAGUGAAGCUUAUGAGAAGAACAGAUGUUUGAAUCAUAAUGUUCUUUCCAGCACAGCUGAUGAAAGAAAACUCUUCAUAAUCGUGACCAGAAACUAUUCUAGUUGUCAUCCUUAAGAUGAGUCAUUUUUUUCCCUCCUUUCUAUCCCCUCUGAGACUCGGGUUCCUUCUGGAGCAGGAAGUUAUGAAUCAGUCCGUUCUCUGGCUCUGACACGCUGGGCAGCUGGAAGAAUUGCAUGGGGCGAGGGGUAACAGUGCAGGAGCCAAGCUCUGCUGGGGGCUUCACGUGUAAAGGGAGAGCUUGUCAUUAGAGAGACAGCUCGUUCUCUUCUUUGGUGUACAAAUCAUCUUCAGAUUUGCUAUCAGAUGGCCCCAGGGCAUUUGUGUAAUAACACUGUAAGUUUGCCUGCUGGGCCUUUUGCUGUGUUUGUGUGUGAUGUGUGGGGCAGAUCUCGAGGUGCUCAAUCAACACCCCUUUCUUAACCACAUGGUUGAUAAUGUUACCCCUACCUGUGUCUGUAAGACUCCUCUGUAGCACGCUGUAGUAACUCCCUGGUAUCCUUCUUUCAGUUAAAACCUUGUUGUGCAAAAAAAAAUGUUCCUUGCUUAUACAAUUACAUCAUUUUGCUGUGGAAAAAUUAUGAGAACACAGAAGGAGUUUGCUUCCACGUUAUGAAUGGAAUGAAAACAGAAUUAGACACAGCAGGAUCAAGUCUAGGGUUAAUGGCAGUGUGCCUGGGAGCGAGCUACUGUGUGCAACAGCUUUUGCUGUGACUCUUGUUAACGCUCUGCGAUUCAGUGCUCUAAGUACCAUAAUAUUAGCAACUAGGUGUCCAAGUCUGCCUUAGAUCACUGUUGUGUUAGAUGCUGUGUGCUCCAACAGUGGAGUUAUUCCAGAGCCCAGAGAGCUUACAGUCAGAUGUAGGAAGAGCCACAGAGAUGAGAGAAGCAGACAACAUGCUGGUAAGACCAUGUUUGGUGUAAUUACCAGCCGAGAGACCCUGUAGUUCACGCUGGGAAAUCAUAGAUGGAAAUCAGUACUCGUGUGUUGCAGUUCACUUGGGACGUAGUGGCAUGAAAACACAUACGUUAUGCAGCUAGCUAGGGAUCUAAUUCUGUUUCAUUUGUGGGUUGGUUUUUUGUUUUCCUUGUUAAAAUCCAGUGUACUGAGAGAUAGGAAAUACACGACACCAGUUCUGUCUCUCUGCAGUUUAGCAUGUUUUCCAUUAGGAAUAUGUUUUUCUAAUUCAGUGACAGCCCAGUUAGUAAUGCAGCUCCAUAUGCUGCAUAUUGACCAAUGCAGCAGAUAACUGAAGUGGACAAAAUAGUUCAGCUCCAUUAAGAAAUUAAUCUGAAGGUUUACCCUAAAAUGCAAUCAGACACCAUCCCUGUUCUUCCCCAGGUGCAGAAUUUAGGUAUUGUAUUUCAACUAGCAAUAAAAAUUAAACCAAGCAAAUUAAACCAAGAUAAGCUUUUUUUUUUUUUUUCUGGCCUGAACAAAGUGAGGAAGAUCUGGUAAAGCACUCCUUCUGCAACUUGAAUGUUUCUAUACCUUUCCGAGGAAAUGUACUUUGAAAUGCCUGAAGUUGAGUCUUCAAUUUGAGUUCAGCUUCAAUUCUGAUUUGAGUUCAGCUCGUUGUGGAUUGAACUGUUUUGUAAAUUAAAGUGAUCGGUGGUAUUUCACAAUGUAGGUUGGUGUCCAGGGCUGCAGGAGGAAUAAGGGCUGAGCUCUUCUCCUUCUAUCUCCAUCCACAGAGGCAUUCAUGUCUUUCAUCUCUUCUAGCCAUCUGUGGAUUUCCUAAGGUGGUAGGUAGGAGCUGAGUGUCUUCUGUCAAAUGUGACAGCAGUUGGCCAGUGUGAUUCACAGCGAUGUGUGUGAAUAGACACAGCAGACAGCAGAGACAGGCAACCGGAGCACAGGCAAUAAUGAGAGAAUUAGGGAGCAAGUAUUUUUGGGUUGUGUGAACAUUGACGCAUCUUCAGCUGAACUAACUGAUGGCAUCAAGCUGAAGGUUGGCAAUGCUGCUUUAAUGUCAGGAAGAAAUUUUAAGGGCCUGUUACGUAGCUGUGGAGAGAGGUUGGAAGCAGGGACUACGUGCAUACCUUGUGAUUUAUGGCACUACUUGUGGAUUCUGGCACUUCAACAUAUCACAUUUUUAAUUGCUACCAAAGGCAGUUGUUUGUAAAAGGAGUUUUAGAAUUGAGCAGCUGUCAGAAGAAGAAAUGCAGAAAGCUUUAUAUAGAUAACUGGAGAAAGGCGGAAGGUGUUAUGGGGAGGCUGUGAGGGUACUAGGUUGUUUAGAGGCAAUCUAGUUGGUCAGGACAGCAGCCUUAUAGACAUGGAAUAAUUUCUCUUCUCCCUUCCCUUCCCUUCCCUUCCCUUCCCUUCCCUUCCCUUCCCUUCUUCUAUAUGAGCACCAUCAACAGGGGCUCCUUAAUGUCGUGGGUGGGCUGCAGCCUUCAUCUGAGACUUCACAUACAGGUUUUGAACUGGGGAUGUUCUUGACAGCAAGGGCUUUAAGGGUUCCUUUCAGCAGGACCAGGGGCCAGGGCAGAGUUUCUGAGCUCUCAGGGAUCGGGUAAGUUGAAGAUCCAAAGCUCCAGGCUGCUUCUUUUUGCAGAGCAUUCAAGGAGGCACAUCAUGUCUUCAUCCCCUCUGCUUCUCCAGCAUGCUCAGGAGGCCAUUCCAGCACUGAUGUCAGAGGCCAGUAUUGCAAUCCUCUCCUUUUGGGUUACCGCAUGAAAAAGUUUGUCAUGCUGCCUCCAGGCAGAUGCUGUGUCUGGUCAGUGUCCUUCCUUGAACAAAACUUUCUGAAAUCUGGAUGUGAAGACAUUGGUUGGGAGCCAGAGCAUCCUCACACAGAUGUAAAGAGACAGCCCUUGCCCUGAAGGAUUUGCAGCACAAACAGGCAAGUUACAGACAGCGUGAAUGUGAUAAUUCAUGUUUUACAGAGGGGAGAACUGAAGCAUGGGCUUAUUUAUUCGUAAGUUCAAGGUCAUGGAGCAGGUGAAGAGCAGAGCCCUGGACUGAACUCUGAUCUUGCAGCUCGGUGCCUUAGAUGUAGAGCUGUUCUGCCCUGGGAAGAUCCUCAUUACUAUAAGAACAUAAACAAGGUCUGCUCUGAAGGUACUGCCUCCUAUUUUAUGAUGUUGGCCCACAGCAUCAGAGGUGGAAUGUUGGUGGUAUGGCAGUAGAGGUUGAACUGUCCCACCAAUAUUCUGUUACACUGUGUUGCUGUGUGACAGAUGGCAGCAGAGGGACAGGCUGACAGAAUGGUGUCUGACACAGAAGAGCAUAUGAAGCAAAGGUGUGUCCUUGAAUUCCUCCACACUGAAAAAAUGGUACUCACUGGCAUUCAUUGACACUUGGUUAACAUUUAUGGAGACCAAGCAGUGGGUGUGAGCACAGGGAGGCAGUGGGUGGUGUGUUUCAGCAGUGGUGACAGUGACGGUGGGUCACCUCUGCUGGUGCAGAUUGUUAUGAGUAUGGCAUGCAGGCUCUCCUUUGGUUGCUUUUAGCAAACUGUAUGCAGCUAAUGCCCAAUGGAAGAGGACAAAUUGGCAGCAAAUAAUAAAUUACAUUAAUCCAGAGAAGAGGUGAGACAAUCAUAGUCUCAGCAGUCCAUAGAUAAUAAAAUGGAAAUCUCUUUAUUCAGUAAAGUACCUUAUAAUUGCUAAUGUUAUUAAUCUCCUGGAAAAUCCGUGUCUGUGAAAAAUAAGCCAGGCUUUUCCUUGAACACAAAGUAGAGAAAUGUUGUUUUCAUCACCCGGAGGUCUGGAUAAUCAUGACAUUUGUCUUCCUCUUCUUUUAACCUUUGUGGGAGCAGGAUUCCAGGUUCACUGCAGUUAGCAGAAAGAAAUAGAGAAGGUAAGGUGGAAAAAAGAUGACAGUGAUCCCACUGAGCUGGUCCUGCUGGCCUCAGCCAGCGCUCUCAGACCUCUUUGCACCACAUUCCACCCCCAUCUCUGAAAUGCUCAUUGGCCUCUGUGUAUGUUUUGCUGCAUGUUUGAGAGUUUCCAGCAGCCCCCAAAUACCCUUCUGUGCCAUUAAGUCCAUGUGGUACUAUUUCCACUCAUACCCCGAGCAACUCAUAGGGGGCACCACCAGCUUCUGUUGUCCAUGAUGUCAGAUCAUAGGUUUGUCAGCUCCUCUGGUGGAGAAUGCAUUGUUUUCUAUGGUGGAUAGAACAGUUAAUGAUGUUGUAUGCAAAUGCAGGCGAAGAAAUAGCAGAACUACCUGCUCCACUGAUGGAGCAUAGGACCAUUUUUUUCCACUUUCUUUCAGCUCAGUUUGCAUUUC